GAUGACAUAAUGUAUUAGGUUCUACCAACUCGUUAUAUCGUCUUGAUUAAGCAAUGGCAGUUUUGGCUCGGCCUAACAACCUUUCAUAAAGUUUGACCUCAAAUCAGGUAGGACUACCCGCUGAACUUAAGCAUAUCAAUAAGCGGAGGAAAAGAAACCAACAGGGAUUGCCUUAGUAACGGCGAGUGAAGCGGCAAAAGCUCAAAUUUGAAAUCUAGUACUUUCAGUGCUCGAGUUGUAAUUUGAAGAUGGUAAUCCUAGCGCUGGCCCUUGUCUAUGUUCCUUGGAACAGGACGUCAUAGAGGGUGAGAAUCCCGUCUGAUGGGGUGUCCAGUGCAUUUGCAGGAUGCUAUCGAAGAGUCGAGUUGUUUGGGAAUGCAGCUCUAAGUGGGUGGUAAAUUCCAUCUAAAGCUAAAUAUUGGCGAGAGACCGAUAGCGAACAAGUACAGUGAUGGAAAGAUGAAAAGAACUUUGAAAAGAGAGUGAAAAAGUACGUGAAAUUGUUGAAAGGGAAGGGUAUUAGAUCAGACUUGGUGUUUUAUGAUUAUCUUCCCUUCUUGGGUUGUGCACUCGUAUUUCACUGGGCCAGCAUCGAUUCGGACGGUAAGAUAAUGACUUUGGAACGUGGCACCAUUCGUGGUGUGUUAUAGCCUUUGUUGAUAUUGCCUGUCUGGAUCGAGGACUGCGGCUUUUGCCUAGGAUGCUGGCGUAAUGAUCUAAUAUCGCCCGUCUUGAAACACGGACCAAGGAGUCUAACGUCUAUGCGAGUGUUUGGGUGUAAAACCCGUACGCGUAAUGAAAGUGAACGUAGGUGAGAGCCCUUAAGGGUGCAUCAUCGACCGAUCCUGAUGUCUUCGGAUGGAUUUGAGUAAGAGCAUAGCUGUUGGGACCCGAAAGAUGGUGAACUAUGCCUGAAUAGGGUGAAGCCAGAGGAAACUCUGGUGGAGGCUCGUAGCGGUUCUGACGUGCAAAUCGAUCGUCGAAUUUGGGUAUAGGGGCGAAAGACUAAUCGAA
This 1014-nucleotide ribosomal RNA is filed under the name Xingzhongia scolytoplatypi. RNAcentral describes it as "LSU rRNA". It matches the Rfam family "Eukaryotic large subunit ribosomal RNA", at positions 1 to 939 of the family's 3401-position model. Lineage: Eukaryota; Fungi; Ascomycota; Saccharomycetes; Phaffomycetales; Wickerhamomycetaceae. The record is from RNAcentral.